ACCUGAGUGGCUCAGUCGGUUGAGCGUCUGACUUCAGCUCAGGUCAUGAUCUCACAGUUUGUGGGCUCGAGCCCCGCGUCAGGCU
Molecule: transfer RNA, 85 nt
Organism: Felis catus (domestic cat)
Lineage: Eukaryota; Metazoa; Chordata; Mammalia; Carnivora; Felidae
Rfam family: tRNA
About the family: Transfer RNA (tRNA) molecules are approximately 80 nucleotides in length.
Source: Rfam